Molecule: non-coding RNA, 48 nt
Organism: Trichobilharzia regenti
Lineage: Eukaryota; Metazoa; Platyhelminthes; Trematoda; Strigeidida; Schistosomatidae
Source: Rfam
AGCCAGAUGACGAGUCCCAAAUAGGACGAAAUGCGCUCUAUCUUAGAU